CCACUUGAAGAUGAAGAACUGGUGGAGUACAUCAUCACCGGUUUAGGAGAAGAAUUUCAACCACUGGUAGCCGCUUUGUGUACAAAGGCGGAACCCAUCUCGGUUGGGGAGUUGUACUCACAGCUCCUCAGCUUUGAAA
Small nucleolar RNA from Panicum virgatum (switchgrass), 139 nucleotides. RefSeq annotates it as small nucleolar RNA Z247. The record is from RefSeq and is a predicted model, not a curated record. The transcript has a single exon. Lineage: Eukaryota; Viridiplantae; Streptophyta; Magnoliopsida; Poales; Poaceae.